GUGCUCGCUUUGGCAGCACAUAUACUAAAAUUGGAACGAUACAGAGAAGAUUAGCAUGGCCCCUGCACAAGGAUGACACGCAAAUUCGUGAAGCAUUCCAUAUUUAA
Canis lupus familiaris (dog) is the source of this 107-nucleotide small nuclear RNA. The record is from RefSeq and is a predicted model, not a curated record. NCBI's taxonomy places the organism in Eukaryota, Metazoa, Chordata, Mammalia, Carnivora, Canidae.